UGCAAGUCGAGCGGAGAUGAGGUGCUUGCACCUUAUCUUAGCGGCGGACGGGUGAGUAAUGCUUAGGAAUCUGCCUAUUAGUGGGGGACAACAUUUCGAAAGGAAUGCUAAUACCGCAUACGCCCUACGGGGGAAAGCAGGGGAUCUUCGGACCUUGCGCUAAUAGAUGAGCCUAAGUCGGAUUAGCUAGUUGGUGGGGUAAAGGCCUACCAAGGCGACGAUCUGUAGCGGGUCUGAGAGGAUGAUCCGCCACACUGGGACUGAGACACGGCCCAGACUCCUACGGGAGGCAGCAGUGGGGAAUAUUGGACAAUGGGGGGAACCCUGAUCCAGCCAUGCCGCGUGUGUGAAGAAGGCCUUUUGGUUGUAAAGCACUUUAAGCGAGGAGGAGGAGCUCUAGACUAAUACUCUAGAUGCUUGGACGUUACUCGCAGAAUAAGCACCGGCUAACUCUGUGCCAGCAGCCGCGGUAAUACAGAGGGUGCAAGCGUUAAUCGGAUUUACUGGGCGUAAAGCGUGCGUAGGUGGUCUUUUAAGUCGGAUGUGAAAUCCCUGAGCUUAACUUAGGAAUUGCAUUCGAUACUGGGAGACUAGAGUAUGGGAGAGGAUGGUAGAAUUCCAGGUGUAGCGGUGAAAUGCGUAGAGAUCUGGAGGAAUACCGAUGGCGAAGGCAGCCAUCUGGCCUAAUACUGACACUGAGGUACGAAAGCAUGGGGAGCAAACAGGAUUAGAUACCCUGGUAGUCCAUGCCGUAAACGAUGUCUACUAGCCGUUGGGGCC
RNAcentral lists this ribosomal RNA (780 nucleotides) under Acinetobacter sp. P2G8. RNAcentral's name for it is "bacterial SSU rRNA". It matches the Rfam family "Bacterial small subunit ribosomal RNA", at positions 56 to 830 of the family's 1533-position model. Lineage: Bacteria; Pseudomonadati; Pseudomonadota; Gammaproteobacteria; Moraxellales; Moraxellaceae. The record is from RNAcentral.